GGCCAAGACCAAGGCCAAACAUCAGGAGGAACGUCAACAAGUCCAGCGGCUGAGUGAGUGCAAUAAAACCCAAGCAGUAAGCAGCGUUUAGUCUGCGUCCUGGCCGCCGAGCCCCAGCACGGCACACCACUGUGACACCAGCGGGCCAGUAACACGAGGAGGAAGGCGCUGAAGGAGGCAGGGGCCGGAAAUAAGGUCGGACAGGAUGGGUUGUGACGGAGGCACCAUACCCAGGAGGGACGAACUCGUCAAGACCAAAAAGAAGCCUGAACAGAAAGACAAAAAUUCUGAGCGUCUGUACCGAUGGAAGCACUGCGCGCUCUCCCAGGCUCCGCUGAGGGCCCCCGUGGUGGCCUGCGAGCUGGGGCGGAUGUACAACAAGGAGGAGGUGUUGGCGAGGCUCCUGGACCGCAGCAACGAGGCAGCCAUUGCCCACAUCAAGGGCCUGAAGGAUGUGAAGGAGCUUGGCCUCACCCCCAACCCUGGACACCAACCCGAGGGACCGCUGACGGGUGACGCUGCCCCAGACCAACUAACAGCCGAGAAUGUCUGUCCCGUCACUGGCCUGGAGAUGAACGGGCGUCACCGCUUCUCCUUCGUGUGGACCUGUGGCUGUGUGGUGUCUGAACGUGCGCUGCGAGAAGUCCCCACUGAGAUCUGUCAUCGCUGUGGUGCUCCCUUCAAAGAGGAGGACCUGGUGCCCCUCAACCCACCCGAAGAGGAACUGGAGACUGUAAGGUGUGCCAUGAUCACUCGCCGUGCUGCUGCCAAGUCCGCCAAGAAGGCCAAGAAGGAAGGGAAGAGGGCAGCGGAAGGGGACGGAGAGGAGGCAUCGGGACCCAGUGGAAGCAAACCCAAAAAAGCAGCAAAGCACAGUGAAGCCAGCACAAGCGGUGAACCAACAUCAAACCGCCCUGCCCUGCGCGUGAAUGGUGUGGCAUCAGCCGUGCUCAGAGACAAGGCGUUCGACAAGGUGCGCUCGUCCGGCUUCAGCGUGGCGUCCGACCCCAAGGCUUCGGAGGCGUAUAAGAGUCUCUUCGACACCCACAAAACUGCCAACAAGAAUCCGCGUGCACAUUGGGUCACGUGCAACCCUCAGUACUUCUAGACUUUUUUUAUUCACUUGCCUUUCUCGUUCUUCCAUUUCUUUCUCUCUUUUGUCUAAGGUCUUUGUUUCUUUAUUUUUUUCUCGCUCUCUUUCUCUCUCUUACCUUAACACAAACCCCUGCUUCUCUAUUUUGCUCUCUCUCAUCUUCUCUAUUGAACUCUCCCUCCUCCCAAACUUUCCUCAGCCUCCUUCAUCUCAUCUUUUUACCCUUUCCUUCUCUCCCUCAUUUCUUUUUGUAUUCUACUGUCUUGUCUUUUUUUUCCUGUUUUGUUUGUUGCAUUUAUCUCAUGGGUUUUUAUUCACUAUAGCAGCACAGUUAGUAUUCCAUCAUUACUCAUUCUCUUCCAUGCAGCACAGGGGGUAGAGGUGGUAUCAUCAAAAUUCGUCUUAAAUCACAUGGUCACUACGUAUCUUCAUCCUCUUUUUGUUUAACGUCCUUUUUUUCCCUGAUGGAGUUGGACGGGUUGGACAGAUAAAUUGGAAGCUAUUCUUUAGAUCAUUCACAGACUUCAGCAGGCAACAGAUGCAGGGUCAGGGUAGGAGCUUCAGAGUGGGAGCAGUACAGCAUUUAUUUUCUCAGCACAGACGUAUCACUCAAUGCUGUGUUUGUUCAGCGAUUUUUGGUGUCCUUGCAAAGACUUCAACACAUAUUUUUGUUACAUUUUAUUUGUCUCCAUUUAGAAGUUUUGUAUGUGUUGAGGGUGGUUUGAGUACACAUGCAUCAUUGGUUGAAAGAGGAAAUAUAUACCUAUUUUAUGGACAUUUCACAGAGUAGCAGUUAACAGAUUCAGGCUUUUGAUGGUUUACAGACAGCCAAGGAGUGAGAGGAUGGUUUGAGUACAUACACUAUAGAUAGCAAAAGGGAAAUGCCUAUUCUUUGGACAGUUGACAGACUAAUAGGCAACAGAUUCGGGCUUUUCAUGUGAGGUUUACAGACAGGCAAGAAGUGAGUAGGUAUGUUGUGUUAUUCAUCCUUUCAUAUUUCCACAACACCUCCUCCUUGCACCCAUCUUUUUCUUUAAUCCAUCUCCUCGAACCAAUCUUUUUCUUCCGCAUGACUCUCCGGGCUUCUGGACAUCUGCUGCACUGUAUAAAGGAGUAAUCAGCACCCAUCCUCUUGUAGCUACGUUAGUGGUUCUCCCAGGCACGUGACGACAGCUCUCGGAAGUCCGUCAGCCAGCGCUCACGUCAGUUUAUACGUGCCAGGGAGCUCCGGUGUCUUCAUGGCCUCUGUUAUCAGUGUCCAGAGGCACUCAAACUUGCUCUCCUGCAUCACCUGAAGUGUUUAAGAAUAUAUACGUUAAUGCCAGUUUAGGGACAGGUAGCUCGGUUAGGAGUCAGGGAACAUAAACAUGGGUACUAUUUUUUUUACCAUAAAGGAAGCAGCUCAAGGGAAAAAAAAAGCCUGCUAAUACUGCUCCUAUAAAAUAAAGUGGAGUGGCCAAAAGAGAUGUCAGUUUCGGUUGUUUAAGAGAUGAUGGUUUGUUCCAUGUUAAGAAGGGCAAAUUUGUGUCCAUGGGAAUGUGUGUUGGCUCAUACAUUAAAAUUUGCUUGCUCACCAUCUGUAAGGGUCAUAAAAUACAAACAUGGAUGCUGUAUUAGGGAUGGGUGGCUCUUCUAUAAGGUCCACGCAUUCAUUUAUUCUCCCUAAUCUCUAAAAGUCAGAGAACACAAAAAUGGAUAUUGGUUAAGAGACAGGUUGUUCUGUGUUAAGAGUGCCAAGUUUGUGUCUAUCAGAAUGUGUUGGUAUCCUGCUUUGGGCUGAUUUUUUGUGUUAGACAACAUUCCACUUAUUAAACUUUUCAAAUGAAGUUCAAGCUACAGGAAUGGAACAAAAAGUAUCUGGUACAAUUCAAUGAAGAAAAAUGUAAAGUCAUGCACCUUGAAGGAGAUAUCCGGCAUACCAAUACCACAUGGAAAACACUCCACUAUCCACCACAGAGGCAGAGAAAGACCUGGGAGUAUAUGUUACCAGGCUACCAGUGAAAGCCAAAUCCGUGCCAAUUGCAGCGGACGUAGUAGGGGACUCUAAGCUGCCAUUUUUUGUAGGGCAGCUUUGUGCGAGUCACUAGCUUGAGACGGGAGGACCGAUAAGUACAGGUCUGCCCUUUACACAGCAGUUUUGAAAGUCCUUCGCUAUAUACUAUCUCCCAUCCACUACAUGCAAGAAGGAACCUGUAACUCUGGUGGUUGCAAGAAGCCUCAUUUACCUUGAUCUUGGAGGGGCACUGCUGCGUUCCCUGCAGACACAGCGCCAGGGUCUCCAGGGUCAUUAUCAACAGCUCCAGCUCGUCUUGCCGCUCCUGUAGUUGCUCCUCCACGUCCUGUUCUCCCAGGGAAGUGCUCGACAUCCUCAUAUAUCUCUUAAUAAACUUUCCCAUGAUC
This is an RNA transcript of Eriocheir sinensis (Chinese mitten crab), 3493 nucleotides long. It is a transcript of the gene named replication termination factor 2-like, with no coding region annotated. Lineage: Eukaryota; Metazoa; Arthropoda; Malacostraca; Decapoda; Varunidae. The record is from RefSeq and is a predicted model, not a curated record. The transcript has 5 exons.